UGGAGUUUAGUUUAUUUAAGACAGAAUGGAUGACUGUUAAUCAUCAGGAAAAGCUCUAG
Molecule: transfer RNA, 59 nt
Filed under: Plectus acuminatus
Lineage: Eukaryota; Metazoa; Nematoda; Chromadorea; Plectida; Plectidae
Description: tRNA-Asn
Source: RNAcentral